Molecule: ribosomal RNA, 627 nt
Filed under: uncultured Sphingobacterium sp.
Lineage: Bacteria; Pseudomonadati; Bacteroidota; Sphingobacteriia; Sphingobacteriales; Sphingobacteriaceae
Description: bacterial SSU rRNA
Rfam family: Bacterial small subunit ribosomal RNA
Source: RNAcentral
CAAAAGUGGCGCACGGGUGCGUAACGCGUAUGCAACCUGCCUCAAUCAGGGGGAUAGCCCGAAGAAAUUCGGAUUAACACCGCAUAAAAACACAGUACAGCAUUGUACAAUGUUCAAAUAUUUAUAGGAUUGAGAUGGGCAUGCGUGUCAUUAGCUAGUUGGCGGGGUAACGGCCCACCAAGGCGACGAUGACUAGGGGAUCUGAGAGGAUGACCCCCCACACUGGUACUGAGACACGGACCAGACUCCUACGGGAGGCAGCAGUAAGGAAUAUUGGUCAAUGGAGGCAACUCUGAACCAGCCAUGCCGCGUGCAGGAAGACAGCCCUCUGGGUCGUAAACUGCUUUUAUUCGGGAAUAAACCUUAUUACGUGUAAUAAGCUGAAUGUACCGAAGGAAUAAGGAUCAGCUAACUCCGUGCCAGCAGCCGCGGUAAUACGGAGGAUCCAAGCGUUAUCCGGAUUUAUUGGGUUUAAAGGGUGCGUAGGCGGCUUAUUAAGUCAGGGGUGAAAGACGGUGGCUCAACCAUCGCAGUGCCCUUGAUACUGAUGAGCUUGAAUGAACUAGAGGUAGGCGGAAUGUGACAAGUAGCGGUGAAAUGCAUAGAUAUGUCACAGAACACCGAUUG